AUACGUAGGGGGCGAGCGUUGUCCGGAAUGAUUGGGCGUAAAGGGCGCGUAGGCGGCCCGGUAAGUCUGGAGUGAAAGUCCUGUUUUUAAGAUGGGAAUUGCUUUGGAUACUGUCGGGCUUGAGGGCAGGAGAGGUCAGUGGAAUUCCCAGUGUAGCGGUGAAAUGCGUAGAGAUUGGGAGGAACACCAGUGGCGAAGGCGACUUACUGGACUGUAACUGACGCUGAGGCGCGAAAGUGUGGGGAGCAAACAGGAUUAGAUACCCUGGUAGUCCACACUGUAAACGAUGAAUGCUAGGUGUAGGGGGUAUCGACCCCUUCUGUGCCGCAGUCAACACAAUAAGCAUUCCGCCUGGGGAGUACGGCCGCAAGGUUGAAACUCAAAUGAAUUGACGGGG
This 397-nucleotide ribosomal RNA is filed under the name uncultured bacterium. RNAcentral describes it as "partial 16S ribosomal RNA". It matches the Rfam family "Bacterial small subunit ribosomal RNA", at positions 523 to 918 of the family's 1533-position model. The record is from RNAcentral.